CUAGCAUGGAAAGUGGACGUUAAACAAUGAUGAUGAUGAUGAUAUAUAUAUAUUUUGGAGAUGUACUUGCAUAGCAAGUGACCUAAUCUGAGAUCGUGUGCUGAAACAAAAGCAAUUGCAGCAUGGAAGGUGUUUAUAAGCCAUUUAAAAACACAAAAAUCGUUAGAUUCACUUCAAGUAUGGAAUUUUAUCAGUGAACAGGUCAUGGUCUCAAAGCAACAAAAAUAUUUUGGCAAAUUAAAUAUAAAUGUCGAAGUAAAUCUAACAGUUUUUGUUUUUUAAAUGGCUUAUAAACACCUUCCACACUGCGACAUACAUAUAUAUAUAUAUUGUAUGUAUGUACAUACACAGAUCUAAUUAUAUAUUAUCGGAUGGAUAACAUUUGUAAUAUAAAUUAUAUAAGACAUAUAUUUAUUGUCAUCAUUAUCAUCAUACUUGUGUCUUUCUGUGGUGGCAUGUGUUGGACAGAUCUGCUCCAACUGGGCAUCUUGUCACAUGUUGCAGUCACUUAUCAUCCCCCUGGUCAGUUUUAGCAUUCUAAGAUCAUCUUUCAUUACCCCUUCCCAUGUCAUCCUCAAUCUUUGUCUUCUACGGACAUCUACUUGAAUUAUUUUGGCCCCUUUUCACCCAACUGUCAUGUUUCACAUGUAUAUACCUGUGCAGCCUUCUCUCUUGCACAACACAACUGAUUCCUCUAAAUAUAGAAAUAUAUUUGUCUCUUUCAGGUGUCUUAGAGUUUGUUGAACUUUUUUCUGAAGAAUAACUGCAAGGAAACAGAAAGAAAGAAAUUAACCAAAAUGUUUGAAGACUGGGAUUGGAAUGAGAUGGUAGGGAGAUUGAUCAGGUGGGCUGCAACAAGCCCAUGGGAAUUCAUCUACUACGUGCUCUUGUGUUUGUCUCCGUUUUUCUUUGUCAGUGCCAUCUUGGCAUGGCAGCUUGCCAAACAAAUAGAACACAAGGAAAAGAGAAAGAAGAAGACAAAUAAAAAAGAGUCUAAUGUUGCAAAGACUCGACGACAAAAAGCUGACUGAACCUCCCAAAGCACCACCCACACUCCCACACGCCUACAAAUAUAAGUUUUUGUAAAUUACAUAUAUAUAUAUAUAUGUUUAUACACAUACAUUAAAUGCUUAAUAAUUAUUUAAAUAUAUAUAUGAUAUAUGUGUGUAUAUACAGAUACAUAUGUAAGUUAUAAUGUUUAAUAUUAUACAUGCAUGUAUAUAUAUAUAUAUAUGAAUAAAAGUUUUGUGAAAUAGGGAGGUAUCUUUUAUUUAUAAACAGAUUUGGAAAGUUUGGAUUUUCCUAAGGAAAGGAGAUAGAAUAUUGCUCAACUCCUUUUAUUUUGUUCUUUAUGUUGUUGUCUAGUGUCGGAAAAUUCAGACUUUUUAUAUGUGUAUAUAAAUAAAUGAAGAAGAGAUAUCUCCAUUACAUCUAAUUUUUCUAUCAAUUUUUUGAAACAUUGUAGUGCACCUGAGCACUAUAUACAAUAAGAUCAUGAUAUACAAAUACACACAUGCAAGCAAGCACACACACACACACAUAAUAGAUGGAUUAUCCUUCUGUUACAUUACAGCUAAAAGAUUCACCAUUUGCAGAUCAUCUGAUAAUGAACCAAAUCCAUUUUUUCUAUGUUCAAUGCUCAAAUGUGUAUGUUUGUGUUUAUAUAUAUAUAUACAUAUAUAUAUAUAUAUAUAUCUUGUGCUUGGUACAUGUCAAGGCUCUGUCCAGGAGUUACAAAUCUCAAAUCAAGAAUGCUGAUCUAUCAGGAGACAAUUGGAAUAAUGGUGAGACUGGGCAUCAGUAUGGUCGAGCCUUUGCAGAAGCUUAAAAACCAAUAAUUUGUCUCAGUCUAUUCAGAAACUCAACAGCAAUAGCACAAAAUACACAGCAAACAAACAACUAGAAAUCAAGAAAUUUUUUGUUGUAUGUGUCCUCGUUACCAUUUUCAGCACCGUGCAUGCAUGUGUCUAAAUAUGUAUGUGCAAUAUGUAUAUAUGUAAUGUAUGUAUGCAUAAUAUUUAUGUUUACAUGUCAUAUAUAUUAUUGAUGCAUGCUAAUAUAUUGGUUUUAACAAAUGGGAAAAGAAAAAUUCUCAGUACUUGAGUAGAAUGUAACAGUAUAUUACUUAGGAUGAUCCAAUGGCCUGUUUCUCUAGAAUUACCUUAACUGUAGCCAGUUCCUCUGAUAGUUGUAGAAUGAUUCAGUCUUUUAUCUGUUGAAGAAACUGGCUACAUAUUGGAUAUACUCCAGGGCAAUGAGUAACUGGAUCAGUGUAAAUAAGCUAUAUAUAUAUAUAUAUAUAUAUAUAUAUAUAUAUAUAGUGUGUGGUUAAGUUAAAUUUAAGCCUUCUCUAUAUGUACAAACUUAUGUAAAGAACUACUGAAAUCUUGUUUAUGUCUCAAUUAUAUCUGAAACAAAUUUCAUGGAUGCAUCUCUUUUAUAUGAUAUAUUAAAUGUUUUUUUUUUAUUGUGAGAGUGAUGGGGGAGGGGGCCUUUGUUAACUCCCCCACCUUAGCUUACCUUUCCUCAUAUUGAAAGUCAACUUCUGCAAAGCUGUCCAAUGAGUUUUGAAGAUACGGCGUUUCUUUCCUUGAUCUUUUGGAUUUUAUUUUUAAUACUGACCUACUGGCCAAGCAAACUAGAUUAAUUUAUUGAUUGGUUAAAACUGUUUCACCUGUGACUUAUGUUUUUUUCAUCAUCAUCCCCAUCAUUUUAACUUAAGGUUGGUGAAGUAUGCACCAGUCAAGUACUGGGUUAUUUAAUUUGCCACCUUGUGCCUACAUUAGAAAAAAUUAUUGUUGUUAUUAUUAUUAUUAUUACUACUAAGGUGGCGAGGUGGCAGAGUUGUUAGCAUGCUGGGUGAAAUGCUUAUCAGUAUUUCGUCUCCUGCAACAUUCUGAGUUCAAAUUCUGCCAAGGUCGACUUUGCCUUUCAUCCUUUCAGGGUUGAUAAAGUAAGGACCAGUGGAGUAUUGGGAUCAAUGUAAUCUAUUAGUCUCCUCCCCCAAAAUUUCAGGCCUCAUGCCUUUAGUAGAAACAAUUAUUAUUAUUAUUAUUAUUAUUAAGGUGGUAAGCUGGUAGAAUCAUUUGUGUAUUGGAUAAAAUGUUAAGUGGCAUUUCUUCCAGUUUUUAUGUUCAGGGUUCAUCCUUUCAGGGUUAAUAAAAUAAGUACCUGUUG
RNAcentral lists this long non-coding RNA (3177 nucleotides) under Octopus vulgaris (common octopus). Lineage: Eukaryota; Metazoa; Mollusca; Cephalopoda; Octopoda; Octopodidae. The record is from RNAcentral.